CAGAGAAUAGUUUAUAAAAACAUUAAUUUUGGAGAUUAAAAAUAGAAUUUUUUUUCUUUCUCUGA
Molecule: transfer RNA, 65 nt
Filed under: Brachynopus latus
Lineage: Eukaryota; Metazoa; Arthropoda; Insecta; Coleoptera; Staphylinidae
Description: tRNA-Pro
Source: RNAcentral